CCCUGCCCUAUGAAUAUUUAAAUGGCUGCAGUAUUCUGACUGUGCAAAGGUAGCAUAAUAAUUAGUUUUUUAAUUGAGGACUUGUAUGAAUGGGAAUAUGAGAAAUAUAUUUUAUUAAUUUUAUUUUUAAAAUUUAAUUUUUAAGUAAAAAAGCUUAAUUAAUUUUUCGGGACGAGAAGACCCUAUAGAACUUUAAUUCUUUAAAUAUUAAUUUAUUUUAGUUAAUUAUAUAAUUUUAUUUAAUUUUUUUUUGUUGGGGUGAUAAAUAAAUUAAACUUUAUUUUUUUUAUUCAUUAAUAAAUGUUUUAUUGAUCCAUUAGUUUGAUUAAAAGAUUAAGUUACCUUAGGGAUAACAGCGUAAUUUUAAUGGAAAGUUCUUAUUUAUAUUAUAGUUUGCGACCUCGAUGUUGAAUUAAGAUAAGAAUAGGGGGUAG
RNAcentral lists this ribosomal RNA (434 nucleotides) under Emadiana sp. U1. RNAcentral describes it as "partial large subunit ribosomal RNA". The record is from RNAcentral. Lineage: Eukaryota; Metazoa; Arthropoda; Insecta; Hemiptera; Cicadellidae.